GGAUUGUGUCGCUUAGUUUGAUGGUAAAUAUUGCGUGUUUUGAGAUUCAGUAUUGUGAUUGGUGAUCUGGUGUUGUGCUAAGCGUUGAUGGAUGUUAUGCUGUAAUUAGCUACUCUGUUUUCUCAUUGACUUGUAUAAUCCAUACAUGGUUUGCUGUGACCAGGAAUCCUUUUCUUCUUUCUUCUUUGUAUUUAAUUCUCUUUGUUCAAAUCAUUGGAACACCGUCAUGUAAUAUUUACUUGCUAAAGUUUGCUUCUUUUUCCAUUGUUGAAAUGUUUACGCUAAUGUCCUGUUUUGAGAAAAUAGCUCCACUAUUUUACAUUACUUUAAUUCUAGUUAAGAAAGUAGCAUAAGAACAAAAUUUGGCUACUAAAUAGUAGAUUAUAAAUAUAUUUUUGUUUGAUUCCAACAUGAAAGAAUGUUCUUAAUGCCAAUCCUGUCCUCGCUUUUCAUUUAUGCUUCCCAGUUUGAGAUUGUCUUUUGUUACAUGGUUCUUUUUACCAGGAAUUAACAUAUGUUUAUCUUUUGUGCAGUACGCUAGGCUGGCUGAUCAUCCUAGCCAUGGAUAGCAGUGUUUACUCCGUGUGUUUGGGUGAUUCUUGGUAACUAUUUGGCUUCAAGAAUAUCAAGCAUGGGAAACUAUUCAAAGCAUAAGUGGCUUUGCAGACUGGAUUACCGCGUUUCUAGAUGUUUCAUGUGAGCUGUCUGGAGUUGGUGAUACGUUGAAUCACCAGGUUUUCUGCAGAAUAUUGUAUCGGUUAAUCAAAAAGCUUAUAGAAUUUUCAGGAGUUAAGGUGGUGAUACCUGGUGGGAAUGUUUUGGUUGAAGACUUAACUCUCUGAGUAGAAACAGGCUCUAACCUUUUGAUCUAAGGAUAAAUGACAAGGCAGGACCUGGAGCGCUAAGGCUGAUGCAUCACUUACAAGGAAGAACACGGGGACAAGGAGACGCCGCCAUCAGGCAUCACCUAGCCGCCGUCCCAUGUUGCACGAGUUGUGUUGUAUGCGCCUUUGGCUUUGUUUUAUUUGUUGUGUGUUGUGAAUGUCCGUAAAAGAUGGAAGAUGUUGGCAAAUUUUCUUGCUGAUGUAUAUUAGUUGUUAUUCUUGAUUGUUCGAUCU
This is a long non-coding RNA of Lolium rigidum, 1118 nucleotides long. RefSeq lists it as uncharacterized. The record is from RefSeq and is a predicted model, not a curated record. NCBI's taxonomy places the organism in Eukaryota, Viridiplantae, Streptophyta, Magnoliopsida, Poales, Poaceae. The transcript is spliced from 5 exons.